RNAcentral lists this ribosomal RNA (497 nucleotides) under uncultured bacterium. RNAcentral's name for it is "partial 16S ribosomal RNA". It matches the Rfam family "Bacterial small subunit ribosomal RNA", at positions 28 to 507 of the family's 1533-position model. The record is from RNAcentral.
GAUGAACGCUGGCGGCGUGCCUAAUACAUGCAAGUCGAGCGAACAGACGAGGAGCUUGCUCCUCUGACGUUAGCGGCGGACGGGUGAGUAACACGUGGAUAACCUACCUAUAAGACUGGGAUAACUUCGGGAAACCGGCGCUAAUACCGGAUAAUAUCUUGAACCGCAUGGUUCAAUAGUGAAAGACGGUUUUGCUGUCACUUAUAGCUGGAUCCGCGCCGCAUUAGCUAGUUGGUAAGGUAACGGCUUACCAAGGCGACGAUGCGUAGCCGACCUGAGAGGGUGAUCGGCCACACUGGAACGGAGACACGGUCCAGACUCCUACGGGAGGCAGCAGUAGGGAAUCUUCCGCAAUGGGCGAAAGCCUGACGGAGCAACGCCGCGUGAGUGAUGAAGGUCUUCGGAUCGUAAAACUCUGUUAUUAGGGAAGAACAAAUGUGUAAGUAACUAUGCACGUCUUGACGGUACCUAAUCAGAAAGCCACGGCUAACUACGUG